GAUAAGUAAUGUGAAUUGCAGAAUUCAGUGAAUCAUCGAAUCUUUGAACGCACCUUGCGCUCCUUGGCAUUCCGAGGAGCAUGCCUGUUUGAGUGUCGU
This 99-nucleotide ribosomal RNA is filed under the name Punctularia strigosozonata. Its description in RNAcentral is "partial 5.8S ribosomal RNA". It matches the Rfam family "5.8S ribosomal RNA", at positions 57 to 154 of the family's 154-position model. From Rfam's summary of the family: 5.8S ribosomal RNA (5.8S rRNA) is a component of the large subunit of the eukaryotic ribosome. It is transcribed by RNA polymerase I as part of the 45S precursor that also contains 18S and 28S rRNA. Functionally, it is thought that 5.8S rRNA may be involved in ribosome translocation. The record is from RNAcentral. Lineage: Eukaryota; Fungi; Basidiomycota; Agaricomycetes; Corticiales; Punctulariaceae.